Molecule: RNA transcript, 1482 nt
Organism: Loxodonta africana (African savanna elephant)
Lineage: Eukaryota; Metazoa; Chordata; Mammalia; Proboscidea; Elephantidae
Gene: NAT9
Gene name: N-acetyltransferase 9 (putative)
Exons: 5
Source: RefSeq, a predicted model, not a curated record
GUGGUGGAGGACGCGGGCCCGGCUGCCAUCAUGUUGUUGAAUCAGAACACCUUGCUGCUGGGGAAGAAGGUGGUCCUGGUGCCCUACACCUCAGAGCAUGUGCCCAGAUACCACGAGUGGAUGAAAUCUGAGGAGCUGCAGCGGUUGACAGCCUCAGAGCCGCUGACCCUGGAGCAGGAGUACACAAUGCAGCGCAGCUGGCGGGAGGAUGCGGACAAGUGUACUUUCAUCUUGCUGGAUGCAGAGAAAUGGCAGGCUCAGCCGGGCACCACUGAAGAGAGCUGCAUGGCGGGUGAUGUGAACCUCUUCCUCACGGAUCCGGGGGACCCCACUGUGGGGGAGAUUGAGGUCAUGAUUGCAGGUCCGUUUCACCUAGCCCUGCCUCCCCUCCUUUCUGGCCCUCAGCACUGCUGGACCUUCAGCUUGCUGAGGCUUGUGGAGCACUCAGACCUCAGUGGAAGGCUCUGUAUGGAUAGCCUGGACCUGUUGGGGCAGGCUGCUCACCUGGAUCCCGCAUGGAUGAGCCUGGACCUGCCUGGGGCAGGCUGUUCACCUCGAUCACAUGUGGAUGAGCUUGGACCUCCCUGGGGCAGGCUGCUCACCCGGAUCCCACAUGGAUGAGCCUGGACCUGCCUGGGGCAGGCUGCUCGCCUGGAUCCUGCUAGCCUGGUGGCUCACCCCUGUGUUUGUCACUUUAUUCCCACCUUCAGCUUAGGUGUGGACUUAACCUUAGGGUUUUGGGCCUUCAACAUUCAGUCUGCCCAUCGGUGGUGGAGGUGGGGAGUACCCUCCAAAGAAAAAUGAUCUUCCCUGGAGCAUUUCCUGUGCUAUGGGAAGGGCCCCUUCAGCUUCUGCUUCCCUUUUCAUCCUCAGCCCUCCCCGCGGGCUACUGGCUGUUCUUGCUGAGGCAGCAGACUGAGGCUAAGGGAGUCAGCCUUGGAGUCAGACUACAGGGGUUCCAAGCUGUGAGCCUUUGGCUGAGUCAUUUAACUUCUCUGUGCCCAUUUUCUCUUCUGCUAAGCGGUAUUAACAGUACUAGUUUCUCAGAGUUGUGAGGGUUACAUGAGAUCCUAUAUGUCAGGUGCCUAAACCUGAGCCUGCGCCUGUAGUGUUGUUAUUGAUAGGUGCGUUUGAGUUGAUUUCGACUCACAGUGACCCCACGUGACAGGGUAGAACUGCCCUGUAGAGUUUCCUAGGCUGUAAUCUUUUUGGGAGCAGAUUGCCAGGUGUUUCUCCCGUGGAGCUAUUGGGUCGGUUUGAACUGCCAGCCUUUUGGUUAGCAGCCAAAUGUUUAACCAUUUGCACCACUGGGGCUACUUGGCCUGCAGUGUUAGCUGUUGUGUUGCCUUUUCUUCCAGAGCCCAGCUGCAGAGGCCGGGGGUUUGGCACUGAGGCCGUUCUCAUGAUGAUGUCUUACGGUGGCUGUGAGCAGUGUCUUUCAGGAGGCGACACUCAGACUGGCCGUGAGUGAGCCGGUACGGC